AAGAAAGUAGACUGAAAACUUGAAAACAAUCUAUUUCAGUUUAAUACAAAUAAACAUGUAAAAAUACUUAUGAGUGCCUGUCAGUGCCAGUCCCUGAUAGGUGCUGAAAAUAUAACAGUUAUCUAAACUGGCUCUGCCCUCAUGGAGAUUGUAUAGAUUAAUGACUCUCAAGCUUUAAUUUGCAAUCAAAACAUGCGAGGAUCCUGGUGAAGUGUGGAUGCUGAUUCAGUAGCUUUAGGGUGGAGCCUGAGAUUUUGUGUUUCUAAUAAAUUGAUGCUGCUGGUCCCAGAACAAAUUUUCAUAAUUAAGAUUCAGAUAAUUGAAAUAUGUACUCCAACAAUUACUGGUAUAGGAAUUAGAACCCAUGUAGUCAACCAUUAUCUUUACUGUGAGAUUAAACACAUUUUGGAAAGAUGGGCUAGGAAAUAUUUUGUUGACAAUAGUGGCUAAUUAUACUAUGAGAGUCAGAAGAAACUGUGCAAAGGUAUCUUUACGAACCAUUUAAUCAAAUUGUUUUAAAAAACCUUUCCCAAUACACAUCAUAGAUGUAGAGUAGAUACUAG
Molecule: long non-coding RNA, 563 nt
Filed under: Homo sapiens (human)
Lineage: Eukaryota; Metazoa; Chordata; Mammalia; Primates; Hominidae
Description: HSALNT0202415
Source: RNAcentral